RNAcentral lists this ribosomal RNA (439 nucleotides) under uncultured Alkaliphilus sp. RNAcentral's name for it is "bacterial SSU rRNA". It matches the Rfam family "Bacterial small subunit ribosomal RNA", at positions 338 to 795 of the family's 1533-position model. The record is from RNAcentral. Lineage: Bacteria; Bacillati; Bacillota; Clostridia; Peptostreptococcales; Natronincolaceae.
CCUACGGGGGGCUGCAGUGGGGAAUAUUGCACAAUGGGGGAAACCCUGAUGCAGCAACGCCGCGUGAGCGAUGAAGGCUUUCGAGUCGUAAAGCUCUGUCCUAAGGGAAGAUAAUGACGGUACCUUAGGAGGAAGCCCCGGCUAACUACGUGCCAGCAGCCGCGGUAAUACGUAGGGGGCAAGCGUUAUCCGGAAUUAUUGGGCGUAAAGGGUGCGUAGGCGGCCUUAUGGGUCAGAGGUUAAAUACUACGGCUUAACCGUAGUAUGCCUUUGAAACUAUAGGGCUUGAGUGCAGGAGAGGAGAGUGGAAUUCCUAGUGUAGCGGUGAAAUGCGUAGAUAUUAGGAGGAAUACCAGUGGCGAAGGCGACUCUCUGGACUGCAACUGACGCUAAGGCACGAAAGCGUGGGUAGCGAACAGGAUUAGAUACCCCAGUAGUC